GUACCAGUGGUCUAGGGGUAGAAUAGUAUCCUGUCAUGGUACAGACCCGUGUUCGAUUCUCGGCUGGUUCA
This 71-nucleotide transfer RNA is filed under the name Nicotiana sylvestris (wood tobacco). It matches the Rfam family "tRNA". From Rfam's summary of the family: Transfer RNA (tRNA) molecules are approximately 80 nucleotides in length. Their secondary structure includes four short double-helical elements and three loops (D, anti-codon, and T loops). Further hydrogen bonds mediate the characteristic L-shaped molecular structure. tRNAs have two regions of fundamental functional importance: the anti-codon, which is responsible for specific mRNA codon recognition, and the 3' end, to which the tRNAs corresponding amino acid is attached (by aminoacyl-tRNA synthetases). tRNAs cope with the degeneracy of the genetic code in two manners: having more than one tRNA (with a specific anti-codon) for a particular amino acid; and 'wobble' base-pairing, i.e. permitting non-standard base-pairing at the 3rd anti-codon position. The record is from Rfam by way of RNAcentral. Lineage: Eukaryota; Viridiplantae; Streptophyta; Magnoliopsida; Solanales; Solanaceae.